UCACUCACCUCACCAAGGCGUAGAGAGAAAGAUGAAGUGAAGCUUUUACUCUUCAGGAACUUCAUAUCAAGUCCUUCACCUCUAUCACUUGUGGAGGACGACAUGACUGGAUCCUGGAGACUAUUUCUGCUCUGUAGUCUCCUGCAAGAUGCAUCACUCGAUUUUUACGGAUGAUUCAAAGCCAGAAGUCAAACGCUGCACAACUUGCUGCUCACUUUUCCACUGCCCCCUAUGCCCAACUUUCAAACCAACCAUCAACACGGAGCUUCAGUGCCACCUGGAAUCCCACAUAAAACAUUCCAUUACAUUUAAAGACAAAAAGAUAUGCAGGUGCAACCUCAGCUGCAGGGAUGGGGGACAUUAUCAUUGCCCCCUUUGUGGCAAAACGAUCAUCAGGAAGUCGGUUAUGGAUCUACACCUGAAGUCCUGCACAAACACGCAAGACAGUCCCUCCACCUCCGCUGCCGUCCAUACAUCCAAUCAAAACCCCAUCACAGUCAAGACAGCCACCACCUCUCCAGCCCCGACUGCUCCUGCUCCCCAAGCUUCAACUGUUGUGUCUUCCUCUGCCGUCUCUGCUGCCCAGAGUAAAAGUACAACCGGUUUGAAAAACAGUUCCAAGUCUUAGUUUAAGUAACUAACUGGUUGCAAAAAUAAUAUAAUUGAAUAUAAAAUUAUUCCAACUUGGUGGCAUUUCAUUUUCCAUU
Gadus morhua (Atlantic cod) is the source of this 707-nucleotide long non-coding RNA. RefSeq lists it as uncharacterized. Lineage: Eukaryota; Metazoa; Chordata; Actinopteri; Gadiformes; Gadidae. The record is from RefSeq and is a predicted model, not a curated record. The transcript has 4 exons.